This 812-nucleotide ribosomal RNA is filed under the name uncultured organism. Its description in RNAcentral is "bacterial SSU rRNA". It matches the Rfam family "Bacterial small subunit ribosomal RNA", at positions 21 to 807 of the family's 1533-position model. The record is from RNAcentral.
GGCUCAGAACGAACGCUGGCGGCGUGGAUUAGGCAUGCAAGUCGAACGAGAAAGGUUCUUCGGAAACUGAGUACAGUGGCAAACGGGUGAGUAACGCGUGGGAAACCUGCCCUCUGGUUGGGGACAACACUCCUAACGGGGUGCUAAUACCGAAUAUUAUCGCAUUAUCGCAUGGUGAAGCGAUGAAAGGCGGCCUCUGCUUGCAAGCUGCCACCAGAGGAUGGUCCCGCGUCCCAUUAGCUUGUUGGUGAGGUAACGGCUCACCAAGGCGACGAUGGGUAGCCGGCCUUAGCGGGUGACCGGCCACACUGGGACUGAGAUACGGCCCAGACUCCUACGGGAGGCAGCAGUCGAGAAGCUUCCACAAUGGGGGAAACCCUGAUGGAGCGACGCCGCGUGGGUGAUGAAGGUUUUCGGAUCGUAAAGCCCUUUCAGCAGGGACGAUAGAGACCGGUGUCAAUAGCGCCGGUAUUCAGACGGUACCUGCAUAAGAAGCUCCGGCUAACUCCGUGCCAGCAGCCGCGGUAAGACGGGGGGAGCAAGCGUUGUUCGGAUUUACUGGGCGUAAAGGGCGUCUAGGCGGGUGUGUAAGUCAGAUGUGAAAUCCCCCGGCUCAACCGGGGAACUGCAUUUGAUACUGCAUGUCUUGAGUUCGGGAGAGGGAAGCGGAAUUCCUGGUGUAGCGGUGAAAUGCGUAGAUAUCAGGAAGAACACCGGUGGCGAAGGCGGCUUCCUGGACCGAUACUGACGCUGAAGCGCGAAAGUGUGGGGAGCAAACAGGAUUAGAUACCCUGGUAGUCCACACUGUAAAC